GGGGAUUUAGCUCAGCGGUAGAGCGCUUGCCUGGCAAGCACAAGGCCCUGGGUUCGGUCCCCAGCCCCG
RNAcentral lists this transfer RNA (69 nucleotides) under Rattus norvegicus (Norway rat). It matches the Rfam family "tRNA". Rfam says of the family: Transfer RNA (tRNA) molecules are approximately 80 nucleotides in length. Their secondary structure includes four short double-helical elements and three loops (D, anti-codon, and T loops). The record is from Rfam by way of RNAcentral. Lineage: Eukaryota; Metazoa; Chordata; Mammalia; Rodentia; Muridae.